UUCGAAGCCGUGACCUUUCGAAAGCAGAUUGCCAGGCCUUUCUUUCGAGGAGCCUCUGGCACAAGCUGAGAGACUGGAGGCUAACAGCCAGUCUCCACCUCAGCCUGCCAGUCACUCCUGUAUUUGCCUCGCCGUUGGGACAAUUCUGGGAAGACACAAAAGCACCUCUAGCACUUUCUUAGAAUGAUCUACUUCUCAUUAUCUCAUCACUGCAAAAAGAGAGUGUAUUUCUCAACCACCUGCUUCCUUCUUCCCCAGGUGAACUUGGAAUGCACCUUCGGAUUUCUGGCAUUGCUGAAGAUGCUUGCAGGCGACGGAUGAAGACCUUCUGGGAGGUGAGAGAGCAGAAUAAAGCAGCUCCCUUCACUGUGCUUCUUUUCCGUCUUCUGCUCUUGGGGCUGCUUGUUCAAAAUAAGGUGUUUGCUUUGAUUAGGGCCUUCCACCGGGAAAGAGGACUUGCUGAGACCCUCAUCCUCAAAUGACAUGGAAGACAUAAAAUAUGCAAACGUUGUCCUUCCCCCUUCCUGAGAAGGGGAAUGGAAGGGAGAGUAAGGAAGGAAGCUGAUUAUUCCUGAAACUUAAGCUUCAGAGUAAGGAGCCCUGGUGACGCAGCGGUUAAGUGCUCGGCUGCCAACUGAAAGGUCAUUGGUUCGAACCCACCAGCCGCUCCAGAGAAGAAAGACCUGGCGAUCUGCUCCCAUAAAGAUUACAGCCUAGAAAACCCUAUAGGGCUGUUCUACUCUGUCCUAUAGGGUCACUAUGAGUCGGAAUCAAUUUGACAGCACACAACAAUACAACAAACUUCAGAGCAGGCAUCCCUGAGUGGUACAGAUGGUUAGUGUGCUUGGCUGCUAACCGAUUAGUUGGAGAUUCAAGUCCACUCAAAGGCACAUUGGAAGAAAAGCCUGGUGAUCUACUUCUGAAAAAUCGGCCAUUCUGCUCUGACACACACAGACAGGGUGGCCGUGAGUCGGAAAUGACUUGACAGCAACCACUGGUUUAAAGGGUUACAGUAACCUGCAACUAUGUUUCCUUUCACUUUGAAAAAACGAACUAUGACAUCCAAACCCCAGACCCCAAUACACUCAACAAGAAGAAGGCUUCCUAUGACGGGUUAGGAAGACCAUGCUGCUGAGAGCAAAAUGGAAGUGACGGAACAUAAUGAACAGGUUUGGGAGGAAGGAAACGGAAUUCAGAAGAGUACAAUCUGAGAAUGCGGCCGUGAAGGCCAAGAAAAAGUUUAAUGGGAUCAGGGAAUUGGAAAAGGGGAACUUAGGGCCAUAAAGGGAAUUUUUAGAGAAAAGGCGUGCUCAUAUUUUGUAAGUUUUGCAUUUCACAGCAAGUUUCUAGGUCCAAACACAUUUCCUAGGCUCAGGCCGCCAGGGAAAAUAAACACUGACGAUCUAAUGAGUCGGGGAGCAGGAACUGCUAGGACAUCUUUGAGGUAUAUAGCAUUAUAAUGGGUACUUUAUUUUGAUUCAGAAAAUAUUAACUUCUACAUUUUCAGAUAUGUUUAUCAUACAAAAUUGCUUUAUAAAUUAUGAAGAAUGGAACAAACUGAAAAUAACAUCAGUUUUAUCAACUUAGAAAAAUCAGUGUCACAGGUAGUUUUUUUUAAAGGCUUUAUCUUUUGAGGGUGAAGCCCAAGGUUAAAAGUCUCUUACUGUGUCUUGUAGGGUGUCUGCACUGGGGUUACACAGGAGCCAGAUGGCACACCAUCAGCUUGGGCAGCUCUGGUCAAACUCACGGACAAAUGUAUGAAGGGCCCACCUCCCAGGGAGCAUUGGUGACUCCAGCCUCCCCUUCGGAGAUGCCUGGAGAGGUUUUGCAGCUCAGGGACAGAGUGGUGAUGAUGUUGGCCCUGGCCAAGGCAGAUCCUCUGAGGGCUUAAACAAGGUUUUUAGAUCUGGAAUCUUGAGUGAUGAGCUAAACAAAACAUAGACUUUUUAUGAAGGUGUUGUAAGCCUUCCAGGCGGCCUUUCAUUUUUCAGUAUUCCUUCAAAGAUACAUAAGUUGGAUUUUAGCAAGCUGUCAGUGGAAAGGAAAACUGGUAAACUGAAUCCAAGAGGGAAAAAAAGCAAUCUGCACGUGCACACAUGCACGGGCACACACGUGCACACACAAGACUACAUUCUGCAACUACACACCAUACUCACGUGCAAAUGCUUUGAAGGCAAUGGAGGGUGAGUAGAUUUUCAGGUUACAAGCAGCUUUUUGGAAUGGCAAUCAUACACCUUCUUCUUUCUUUCAGGGGCUUGAAAGCUGAAGAGAAGUGGAUCCUGCAAGUUCUUGAGCAUCCAGCUGAAAGAGAGCCCGUUUGUAUUUGGCCAAAAAUCUUCAGAAAGGAGGAUGUAGCUUUCCUCGAAAAGGCUAUCCUCUAGAAACCUCGGCUUCUCCAAACUUCCCCUGACCCCUUAGCAGAGCUGCCUGCCCAUGCUGGAGGGAAGGGCUGGGCCUAAAUCUGGGCAGCCUCUGCCCCUUGAUGAGAUCCUGGUGCCCUGGGGAGGGGGCCUGCAUAUUAGCCUGUGGCCGUUAUGAGGCAUUAAGUAAUAGAAAGGCACUUAGUGUAAGUAACCGUGGCUGGAACGCUAGUUCUCUUCUACAAACAGGCUGUAAAACUGUAUUUGAGCUCCUUGGAGAUAGGUAUUAAAAGCAAUAAUUUUUUUUACUGGUAUUGCUAUUGUGUGUGUGUGUCUAAUGACCUUCCUGGAGCAGGCUAUGCCCAGGCGGAGACAGAGAGUUUACAUGGCAGGAAGACUGUCUUCCCUUAGGUGCUGUGACAGAAGAGGAAAGAGAACAAAAACCAUAACUUAAGAAAAGAAAGAAUAAAGAAUCUUCCAAAAGCAAGAAUGGUUGUUAAGGAAACUCCUCCUGAAGCGUAACUGAGGGAAAGGGUGGCCUGUUUAUUGAAACCUUUGGCCCGGUGUCCUGCUACCACAGAGUCUAAGCACACACUGCCUAGUGCCAGGAAAGAGUUUGGAAACAAAAUUCAAUUCCACAAACAUGACUGCGCACCCUCUAAGUGCUAGAAAAAGCACUCCGUUACUGGGGAUGAGAAGAUGAACAGGGCAUGAUUUUAGAUUUGGGUAAUUUACCUAUGAGAAUUCUGCAAGAGAAUAUGAUCAAAUGGUUAGUUUUCUGGUGGUGCAGUGGUUAAGUGCUCAGCUGCUAACCGAAAGGUUGGUGGUUUGAACCCACCUGCUGCUC
This is a long non-coding RNA of Trichechus manatus latirostris (Florida manatee), 3207 nucleotides long. RefSeq lists it as uncharacterized. The record is from RefSeq and is a predicted model, not a curated record. The transcript has 4 exons. NCBI's taxonomy places the organism in Eukaryota, Metazoa, Chordata, Mammalia, Sirenia, Trichechidae.